UUAGAACGAUGUAAAUAUAGAGAUACAUGUGUUUACGUUUAUAGAUUAUUGAAACUUAUACGAUAUAAUCUUUUAUUCGUUCAUAAAAAAUUAUAAUUUAUGAUUACGAUAAAAUUACCAACGGAAAGUAACUCAAAAGUAGAAAUACAGAUAUUUAAAGAUUUUAAAAAGAAGACACACGCAAGCAUACGGAUAUUACGAUAGUGUGAUGUAGACAUCUAAAAUGAAUAAUAAAGACGAGCUCUAUAGAUAUCUUGCUCGUCACGUAGUACGAAAAAUUCAUGGAUGUAUAUGGAGGCUGUGGUAAUUGGGCUCGAGCAAAUAAGCAAUUACUAUGUUUUGGCUUGGCAAAUAUUAUAAUAACGGGCUAGAGGGGUUAACCAGGUUAUCUGGAAUAUGAUCAUCGGUUCAGGCGUUUUAGAGAGCGCCAAAACCGGCACCAGCCUGCUGCUCACUUUUAUUUCCUUUUUUAAUAUAGUUGUUUACUCAAGGGAGCUUCGUUACUACCUCCAUCAAAACUAUGCAAAACUAUAUUCUUCGUUAAUUUAUAUGUUUUAUCUCGUAAUCAUAAAAUCACCGAGGAAAUUAGAAAUUUCGUUGUUUUUGUAUUAAAAUACAGAUAAAUUAAGAAUUUCCAUUAAUUAUUUUUAUUUCAUUUUAUGUAACAUCUUUUUCUUAUUUUUAAUUGUACAAUAUGCUAACAUCGUUUGGCAGGACAAAAAUAAAACAUCCUAUAUAUUAAUUUCGAAUAAAUCGGUAUUUUCGGAAAUGUACCGGAAGUUACGACCGAUGUGUUUAAUGCGACUUUAAUACCACUUCGGGUUUUCCGCCUAUUUUCAGUUUCCUGUCGGCGUUUUCGUUUUAUUUGCCUUGCGGUGCAAUUAGCGGUUUGCCGAUUUUCUUUUUGAUGGUUAAGCUUAUGCAUUGCCCUGUGUUUUCGGCAUUCUCUAAUGUUCCGUGAAAUUCUAUAUCGUUAAAUAAGUAUACACCUUAUUUCCUACUCGUUUUUCACAAUUUACUUUUUCAAUAAUACACGAUCUAUCCGUGAAACGUUGCGUUACACCACAUAAUAAGUAUAUAUUUUUAAGCACGAUAUCUUUGAAACCCGUGGAGGAAGGAACUUCGAACGGGUGCUCUUCCACCGAAACUCAAAGGACAUUCGCUCGAAUAAUUUUACUUCCUCCGUCGUAUGAAUUCGUACGAGUUCCCUCGAGCCUUGGUAUACACAAAACUAGGAAAAUGAAGUAUUGGAUCAUCCUGGCGAUUCCAUGUUUCUAACUUCUAUGGUUGACUUUGUGAUAAAUAGCCUGAACUUCGUUCUUGACAAAUGAGAUCGAUUUCACUGCCAACGAAAUAUAUUGUCCGUGAAUGUAAUACUUUUGAUAAGAGCGUAAACUUGCUGAAUACAACAGAGUACGAACAUACCGAUGGAUGGAUCAAAGCAUGUUUGUUUAUAACAAGAAAUUUUUAAUCGACAUAUAACGAUUUGGGUGAAAAAGAUUUCUCUCGCUGGCCAACUGGUCCCAGGUGUGUACACUGGGAGCGUGGCAGACGCGUGCUUCUCCCCUCUUUAACCUCAGCCGAACGCAGUUGCUUUUACAUGCUUCUUCAUUCUUCCUAUGUAUGUAUAUAUUAAUAUAUGUACUAUAAAAUAAUUUAAAAUAAAUAUCACACAGCCUGGGAAAUUUCAUCUAUAUUUCAAGAGGUUAUGAAAUCUUUGUAGAAGAAACAGAUCCUGAAAGUUAUCUGAGAUACGAAAACGUUUAUUUCACAGACAGAUAGAUGCAACGUGGAUGGAACAAAUCAAAUUAAAGUACGAAGGAAAAAUAGCGUAUACUUAGUAUCUAUUAAACACAGAUAAACAUAGAUCUUUACGAUCCAAGUCGCUUUAAGGUUAAAUAGAAACGCAUAAAUCAUGGAAGAGACAAAAAGUGAAGAAAUUUACACCUUCAUAAUGCAAAUUAAUAGCUCUUCCAAGCAUUGCUAUCGAAGAGAAUAAUGAGCCUUGUUUUAGACAAUUAAGAGAAGAAGAACGUAGAAACUGGCCACGUAAGAUUUGCAUUUGAGAAAGGUGGUAAUUAUUUGCAACGGAAUAACGCAAUUAUCAAAUUGACCCUCGCACCCUCACAUAAUUACUCGCGACUUCAGGAUUUAAGUGGAUAAUCAUUGGGAAUUGGCGAACUGUUCGUUGAACGUUGAAAUUUGGCAAGCGUCAGAAUGUGGGGCGCCUGGUCGUCAAUGCGUACCAUGUAAUUUAUGUUGAAUGUAUGUAUACAUCUCACGUGGAUACUGGCGGUAGAUUUUAACGCUGAAUUUCGAAUUUAUUUUGCGUGAAUUUUUCACGAUAAUCUGUUUCCGCAUAAAAAUUUCAACCUAUCGUAAUACGAUAAUCGUGUCGUGCUUCAAUUGCGAAAAGAACAAUCGUGUUCCUAGUUAAAUUUCUUUAUGUUAGUCAAAGAAUUAGAUUCGUUUAAUUUCCUUUAUAUUUAUACGGAAAUCUUCUAACGUGUGUAUUUUCUACAGGUAUCCCUUGCUUUCAAAUCUUUACGUAUAUUUUAAUUACACCUAUACGUAAUUUCAAGACACGUGUACAUUUUUCACUUUCAAGAUGUUAUUUAAUAUUAAUUGGUCGUUAUUAAAACAAAGUAUCAGAGAUUAAGGUUACCGAUGAGCGAAAAUUGACAGAGUUGGUGUAGUGGCAGCAACCUAACAGUAGGAGGAAAAUGAAAUUUUACUCUCAAUCAGAGAGCCACUCGAUCACACAGGAGGGUGCCAUAUUGUUACGUUCUAACCAUUCUCUCUUCUUCUUUAUUUCUUUUUUCUUCCAUAAUCUUUUCCUCUGGUUUGGAUCAACUGUUGUUUUACGAGGACUCUUUAGCCUCGGCAGACGGCCCAUUGUAUCGCUUAUUUCAAUGCGCGGAUUGUUUUCAAAAAGAAAGCACGAUUGUUUCAUCUUUUUCUUUUUUUUUUUUAGCUUCCUCCUCUUUGAUGUUCUGCUAUUUACCGAUAGUAGCGUAUCGAAUGUACGGCUAUUAAGAGUCUAUGAAAUUGUUAAUGAUAGUUUUAGAAAGGUAAUGCACGAAAUCCUAACUUUCAGCGAGAAUCGUAAGACACCUUGUUCUUUAACAUCUUGCGAGACAGUUGCGCGAUGGUCAUUUCUGAAAUUUUUUCAAUUUCUGCUGUUUGUCGUUUACGUUUCGAGAUAUUCUUCAACGAAACGAUGGUACAAAUCGUUUUUGCCUGUCGUAAUACGAAUCGCUGGAAUGGUUCGGGCCACCAUGAUUUCGAAGCUAUUUUCUACGUGGGUCGUUCGAGGCUUCUGGAAAUCAAUUUUUCCCCUCUGGCGCCAAUUAACCAGAAUUUUCUCAACUUCGACGUAGGUCCUUUGGCGCAUGGUAGUUUCAAACUUUAACUUUGGGUAAGUUAAUCGCUCCUUCCGUUUUUCUUUUUCCUCGCUUCAGUUCAGCCAAUAUAAUUUGUCGAAUUCAUUCUCAUGUCCACGUGAUCUAUUAUCGUAUCAAGGACGAAAAAACGCAUUAAAACAAUGCAUUUUCUCUUUGGUUAUUUCGUACUUGAAAUAUUUUUGAAAUAAAUGCUUCGUUUACUUUUAUUUUUCAUAUUAUCUUUUAUUUUCCAAAGUCUGCUUGAAUAGAUAUAGCAGAGUAAUGAUAUCAUAAAUCUUAAUGAAGCAAAGUUAUUAGUAGACACAUUCGUAGAAGCAUCGUGAAUUUAUCUGAAGUUUCUAAUUUGGCCUUCCAUUCAAUACGAUGGGAAGAAUAUAAUCGGCUUAUAUACAUUUAGUUGACUAAAUCCAGGAAAAUGUGCCUACUAUCUUUUUCUCCUUCUACCUAUUUAUCUCCUUUUGAACAAAUUGAUGCACAGUCGUCGCGACGAGACGAAAGUUGCACAAAAGCUUAAAUCACGAUAGACCGUGGAUACCGGCUAGUUAGGAGAGUUUUGAUGAAUCCUAAUCUUGUGAAAUAUAUGCGUGAAUAACGAGCCACGACGGCCAUGGUGCGUUUGAAUUAAAACAUAUUAUCCUUGUCUAUCCUACCGACUAAUAUCUACUAAAUGGCGACUAAUACCAAUCCUAUUCAUACGGAUGAUAUGCUUCAAUGUGACGUUUACUUUUAUAUACUAGAAUGUCAUAAUCUGACGCCAUCCACGCAGCUUCAUCAUCUUUUAACAUAUUUAGUAUCAGACAGUUAACGUUUAACAGAUCAGAGACUCGAGCGAAAUCUUUGUAAAACGGAAGAAUUCCUUUCUUUUUUCAAUUCGAUUAUUCCUUCCAUGCUCUGUUUAACGUUAACUAAUUAGAAUAUAAUUGGAAUAUUUAUAUAACUUGACUUAAUUUAAUUUAACUUAAUUUAUAUAACUUAAACGCGAUCGUAGUAUAUGAUACGGUAAAAGAUAAAAAAGCAAAAGUGUUGGUAGUUCGGUUUCAGUCGAAAGUCGUGGGAACCGUUUUGAUAGAAUAGGAGAACGGACGACGUAGGAAGGUAGGAGAAGGAAACGAAGAAUCUUGGUGGAAGAUACAAAAGGGAAAAGAGAAGAAAGGGAAGGAAGGUAAAGCCGAGCAAAGUUUGAACGAUGGGAUGAGAUCGUUGGUUCUGAUUCCAAGCAAAAAUUCGUGAUACAAUGCGAGCGUUUUCAUUCCAAAUAACGUAAAUUCAAUGUAUAUCCUGUUUUAUUUACGAACUUCGAUUAACGACAUAUCGUUGUAUUUAACUACUUGUUCUCUACAACCUGCUUACUCGCAACGUUAAAUAAAAUUAUAAUUACAAUAAAAUUACAGUUGUUUAUUCGGAGAAGCAUAGAAAUUUCAAAUAAUAAUCACAAAAUUGUACGAUUAUAACGUUAUAACAGAAUUCCUGUCCAACUUACUAAAUACUACGAUAUAAUUUUCGAUCGCGUCGAAUUAUAAAUAUUUUUCUAUCAACGUUCACUCUCUCUCUCUCUUUCACUUUCAUAGUUAUUUUCAUUACUCGUAGAUACAUCGCUUGUCCAGAUACUUUUACUUGUUGCAUUUUAAAUACAGGAAACCGCUUAUGCAACGAUCGCAAUGUUCAAGAAACGACGAAUACCGUGUACGUCUUUAGAUCUGUUGUGUUCUCGUCAUCAGCAAGACCUUUCGAUGCGCGAUAAUUGGAGUCCCGAGAGGAAAGUAUUCUUUCUCGUUCCUUGUCGGCUGUAGUUGUUCGUAGUAAUUUAGCAGGUAGCGGGACCGCACGUUUCUACGUGGCCAUGUUCACCCUCUGUCCUCGGCUCUCUCUUGGACGCCCUCCAACACCCUUUCUACCCAUUCCGCGUGUAUUUAAAAGCGUUUAAGGGUGCCCUCCAAUCUCAAGUGCUCUUCGCCGGAUACACAAUGGUUCUUGCGUAUUAUUUGUUGGUGAAAUAACAUGCUGUCAGUUAUGGGGGAUAUGCUAAAUAUAUAGGGUACGGCUAGAAAUUCGAAGGAGAAUCGAUCGAACUCGUCCUGGUGCUCGAGUGUUGUGCUUCGAGUCACGUUGAACCGGCGCGUUCACGUUUCAGAAGAUUUUUAUAUCGAACGAUUCUUUCAAGAGAAUCCGCAUCAACAUGGCUAUGGUUGCAUUUCGGGCACACGUAUUCAUGGAUCACAGAUUCGAACUUUUCUCUUCCUCUUCGUCUUUAUUCUUAAGUUGUCAAUUCGCAUCGUCGAGAAGAUACGGAAGAUUCUGUCGAUCUUCCGAUUUCUUUAUUUUCUUUCCCGGUAUUUAACGAUAAAAUGAAUUCGAAGUAGCAAGGUAAGAGUUUUUCUCUUGGUAAAAGGAAUUCGAUUUAUUUUUAUUUUAAUGACUAUACGUGUUCUUCUAUUUUAGCGAUUUGCAAUUUAUUCAUUUGUAUACUUUUGCUGCACAGGCUAUGAUAGAUACGUAUAUGGACGUCUAAACGGCUGAUCAAACGCCGAUCAAGAAUUUCGCAGUUAUAAAUUUACUCAUGCUCAAGGUUAAUCAGUCUUCCGAAAACAAACAGUUCCGCCUCUUCGUUAAUUCGUGCAUGCUCUCGAAACGAUAAUCAAAUAACGCCGAAUCGAUCGGACACAGGAUACACGUAAUUAAAGAGUAUGUAAUUAUGGACUUUAUCGAAGACGAGCGGUAUUAAGUUAUUAGUUAUUAAUUGCUUUAUUAGAUUAAGCGACCGAAGAUGCGUCGAGAGGCGGAGAAUCGGUGGUAUAAAUUCGCCGUAAUCGUUUCCUUCCUCCGCCUUUAAAUCGAUUAAUAGUACAAAUAGAAACAAUAAAUCAUAUUUUAGUAGAAUACCAAUUAAUUCCUAUAGAUUGAAAUAAACUUUACUAUAACAAAAAAAAAUAUAUAUAUAUAUGUAUAUAUAAUAAUAAUUUAAGUUUACAACUAAUAAGCUCAACUAAAUAAUUUUUAUUUUGAGAAUUUUUACGACGAGUUUAGUUUUGUAAAAUAUUAAUUCAGUAAAAAAUCCGCAUAACUAAGUUCACUCGAGCAAGCUUUUGAAUUACGAAUGACUUAAUCUUUAAUACUUUAACUGACAGCCAAAAUAUACGCAGUUAGUUACUAUUACCAACCUUUUUCUUGUUUUAUACAAUUUCCGUACGCAAUAAGAGGGAACCGUAUCUUGUUAAAGUCCAAUCCAGUUAACAUUACGGCCUGGUCUGCUAUCAUCAGAUUACAAUGUAAAGAUACUAAAGGUGGUAAAACGCUGACAGGGUCACGAAACGUGUAUUGUGAAUUCCUUUAGAGUCGUAACGAGUUGCAAGCGUGGGCGGACGUAAGUGCGAGACACGUUUCACCUUCUACUCUGACGGGAUAAUUUUCUCUUCUGGCUUAUCCCUUCUUCACCGUCCAUAUCAUUCGUUCAUCCUUCCAGAGGCAUCGUAUAAAAGUAGGUAGUCUGAUUGCCUAAACCGACGUUUUAUUUUUACUACAACUCCGAUUCGUUUCUCUCGGCGAUAAUAACGAUCGAACGCCGAUUAUGUGCGUGAACAAUUAUUGAUCGCGUUUCUGUCUAUCGGCCAGCGUCAAAUUGUAUCGAAUCUUUCACAGAAUUCUUCCGUUUCCUUUCAAUAUCUUCGAAACGUGCAUUUAUUUUAGAAAUCAUAAAUGUAAGUAAGAUCGUCGAAUAAACGUUACGUCUCUGUUGUUACCAACACGAAAAUGUUAUUUGAUUUGUGGCCGAGAAAGAGUCGUUCGUCUGUAAUAAGCGUACCGCCUCUUCCUCAAUAUAUUUGUCUUGAUGGCUCAAUGCGCACGUGACCGCUCGAGAGCGGCAUGACUUUACAAUACGACCCUCGAAACGGUUAUAGCUGUACCAGCGAUGAGAACGUAAAAGGCUGUAAAAACAUUCUGGUAACCGGUAGAAUAAUUCGAAAAGCAGAAUGAACGACGAUCGCGUACAAUUAAACGUCCCGUUUUACUUCGUUACACGCCUCUUGUCCGCCAACGUUGGCUUUCAGGCGCAACAAGUAAACGCGUUCGAUGUAGACAAAAUUCAGGAAACAACUCUCAGUUCUGUACUUUUGUUUCAUUUUAUAGGAAAAAGAAGUUGCGAAAGGGCGACUAUUUUUUUUCUUUCUUCUCUCCUAUGAUUUCACUUUUCUUUUCCUUUUUUUCUUUUCUUUUCCUUCGAUAAAAAGCGCAUAACUGGUAUCAGAUGCUUGCGGGACGCUUGCGAGGCGUGUAAUUCUUUCGUGUUACACGCAGACGAUUUCACCGCAGUCAUCCGCUCCUCGUCCGUGUGUCGUUUUAGUAAGUAGCGGUAAGCUUGUCGGUCCGAGAUGGUCCGAAGAUAGGAUCAAAAGAGGUGAGAGGACCACCCGGUCUAUUUAGAAUAUGAAGAACCAUGACAUUGGUGUCAGAUGUCUCAUCGAGAAUGUUGACACCUGUAAGCGCUGUUGGAACAUUGGAAUCAGUGGCAGGUUGUGCGUUAAUUUUAACGCACCAUGGUAAUAGCAGCUGGAACACGACUGUCGAUAGAAUACGUUCGAUAUUUACCACUUUCCACAUUUACGAUUUUUCCACUUUUUCGUUCAAUCGCGUAAGAAUUAUAUUUUACGACAAUUUUUAUCUUAUGAAUUUAUUACAAUUAUUUACAAUUGAACAAAAAAAUAACGGAGCCAGAAAUUCUUAGUGGUUCAAAAAGUGGUUCUAGAUACAGAUAAGACAUCGUUAAAAAUUAGUGGAAAUCGUUAUCGUCUCCAGAAAUUAAUCAGUGAGAAAGAUCGUUCGAAAUGGUGUUACAAAUAAAUCGCCCUAUUAGAAUCGCGUGGAACUUCGUACGAAGACGAUAACAAUCGCUACGAGCUUUCGAGGCUAUGCUUUCCGUGAAUAAAGCAGAAACUUACUAAUGAAGAAGGAGCAAAAGUACAACUAAGGCGAAGCUUAGUAAAUCUUAUCGCGAACCGUCAUCCUCUCAUUGACUAUGCAUUCCCAGAGGAAAGCCGUGAAUUUUGCCUCGAUUCGGUUCUGAUGCCGUUGACAAUCUGAUCGUACCUAUUCCCACGAGAAAAACAGAGAUAAAAGUAGAAAAAAUGGAAGAAAAAAGAACGCGCGUAGUGCGGUAGAAGAAAAAGGAAAGGUAGAAGCUUGUAAUCGUUUGCCGAUCUUCGCAGUGUUGUCUCAGAAAUGCUCUUCGCACCUAUUUUAACGCGCAUGUAUUAUCGAGAGAUUGGAUCAGCAGGUUACCGAAUAUCGAACGAAUCAAAUUACGAAUCGAUAUGAUAAACACCAGAUACAUUUGCCCGAUACAUUUUUCAUCUAAAUCCGUUCUAAUAAAUUUGACGAAUGUUUAAAAAGAACUUUUGUUCGAUCGAAAGAUCCAUACCGCGCAGCGCACUUGUUCAAAGUCUUACGGAUAUUUGUUUCCGGUAUAUAAAUUAUAAUACUAAAUCGAUAUAAGGUUCUCGAUACAUCGAAAUCGAAUCGAACCGCUUUUGAUCUUCGAAUUAACGUGGUGGACGGACGAAUGAUAGCGUGAUUUGGCAUAAUCACGAGCAUUAGUAGUGAAAAUAUAGUUGCACCUAUUACGAGGAUUUGCAGGUAAAGGGUAGUGAGAAGGUGGGCCAACAGGGCAGGGUGAAUAAGGCGCUCGAGCCUACGCGGGUCGCUUUUUCGAGGGAGGACGAGCCAUAUGGGGAGCAUACGGUAAGCAGGCUGCUGCACCCGCUGCCUCGAGGGUUUAAUCUACCUACCGUCCGCCAAAUUACCAUCCGAGGAAAUCGUGUAUCCUCGAAAGAUCGCUGUGACGACGUUUCCGUUAUUACUGACUUUACUGCAUAAGAAUGGGUAUCACGAGGCCCAUUAGUUUAGCAAAAGAACACUCGACUUUAUUUCUACUUAUCAAUACGCUAUAUGUCCAUCGAUGGAUUUAAAAUUUGUUUACAGGCGAAAUAAAGUCCGAUCCGUUCUUGUAAAAUACGGCAAAAGAUAAGAAAUACCGUGUUCCGUCGUCGUUGUUGUCUUUAUAUUAUGGUUCUGUGUAAAGACUUGACUUUUUUAAUUCGAUUCUUUCGGUUUUCGUCGAAGAAAAGCAGACACUGUCUAGUAGACAUUCCCGGGUUUUGUCUCUCGCUUGCCAACUGUCCCAGGUGUACGUGUCUGAGGAUGAAGGCAAAAGGCCCAAGAAGACUCGAGGCGUGUGGCUGGCGCGUGCUGCUAGUCCCCGAUUCCGUUUCCCCGCCCUUAAGUUGCUUCCGAUCGUUGUCUGCCAUAAUCAGCAUCACCACUGCCGCCGCCACCACCACCUCAACAGCUACGGUCACGCUUUUUAAAUACGCGAAGCGAGCUUUCAUGCCUUCGUACCCUCGGAAAUCGUAUCAUAUUUCCUCCCUUCUUUUCUUAUUUCGUUCUUAUUUUCUUCGUUCUCCAAGCCUUAUUAUUCGUCAUAAUCACAAUUGCCCGUUUAUUUCGUUCGUAAAAUCUAUUAAACAAUUUUUUUUGGUUUUAUAUCAAAGAUGUUUCGAUCGAAUGCUUACGUUCUACACGUCGAUAUUCGUUGACAUAUUUCUUGGAAUAUUAGUUUGAUAGAUUUUAUGGGAAAAGUGAAUGGAAUAAACCGAUGGUAAGGGAAAUAGAAUCGUCGUUGAUCGCUUUGACGAAACUGUUUAUAUAUAACAGAAGUGGAAAUUUGUGUUAUUCGUGCUCGAACAUUAUUAUGGAAAUUUGAAAUGUAAGUUGUUUGUUCCUUUCGGCGGUAAAUUUGCAUAAACACGGUGAUUUUCGAACCAACCAGAAGAUGAUAUAACGCUAAUUUGCAACUUUUAACUAUUCACUUUUCACCGUCACGAAUAUUUUUCUCUUCUAAGCUAUUCUAACCGAAAUACCUUGUUUAACGUAAAAUUCGUUAUCGUCGCGAAUUAAUUAAAAAUAUCCCGAUACACGUAACUAUCGUAGUAACGUCUAUCGAUAUAAUAAUAUUCGUAUGGAAAGGUAAAGCCUUUUGUCAAUUUUCACAAACAGACCUGCCAUUGUGAAGCGUUGUUAGGUAAAAUGGAUUUCUUAAAAUAUUGUGGGAAAAAAGAAAAUAGGAGGAAUAGACGGCGAAGAAAAGAGAAGAAAGGUACACGUUUUAAGUACUAAUUUGUAACAUUCUGAAAGUUUGCAAGAAUGAAUUGUAUGGCACGCGAGGCUAUACGCCAACGUUUUUUUCCAUCUGACACGGUAGAUUAUUGGCAAGAGCGGCUUCUUUGAUAAUUCCUAAGGCGCGUUAGCAUUUCUAUGGCGUUGAAUUGCUUUGGUCCGUUUUACUGAAGCGCCAAAAAUCGUUGGUAUCGCGUCACCAUUGUGUUACGUUUGUUGGACACGUUGGCCUGUUUAACCAUUUAUCUCGUCAUUGACGUUAAUCAGAGCGAUUUCGGCUUCGGCAGAGAUCUUCUGCAAGGAUCCAUAUAAUUUGGUUUGUCACGCUUAUACGUAAUAUGAUCGAUGCACGUGUACAUGCGAACAGAGUAUCCUAUAUUCCUAUUUAUCGAUACAAAUAUACCAAGAAAUUAUUCCAAUUAAUUUCCUAAUAAUCUGUUCGAUAACGAAUUUAUCCUAGUCACUCGCUUUUCUUCUUUUCUUCGUCGACGUUUCCCAAAUUUUUAAUACGUUUUUAAUCGCCGAUUCUUCCUUGCUACUUAAUCUUCUACUAAAAACCGUGACUGCCCUUCGGUAUAAUUAUUAAGUAUUCUCCAAAACCUGGAAACCAGGUUACCCAUCGCAACGAUUUUAAUCUAAAAACGAGGGUUUUAUGGGCUCAGAUGAAGCUGGGCAUAGAUAUAUGCUACGGAAAUAGAUACCAUGAAAUCCCAUAGGAUCCAAAUAGCGUUCCCUUUGCGUUUUACCUACGUUUAGGGUUAAAAUCCGUUUUUAGGGAAGGAAAUUUGACAAACAGUCGAAGGGGCGGUAACGUGAAAAUAUAUUUUUCUAUAAACUUUUGUUUCUUUCGAAUGGUCCGAUCUGGUUCACCCGCGCGAUAGUGGGCAUUCUAUGUAAUUCUAUAGUAAUAUGCUGAUAUUGUUUAGAGUAAUUUUCUUAAUAUAUUAUUCCGAUCGUAUCGAUAGAAUAUAUUUUAAUAAUGUUAUUGAAAUCUAUGUAAAUUUCAGUCUAUCAUAAUUUUAUAAUUUUCAUACUGGACAAAAUUAUAUAUAAUAAAAGAUUAAGUAAUUAAAAUUGAUCGUAACACACUUUACUGCUAUUAUGCGAAUCUAACGUAACAUAAAUGCGAUAAUCUUAGGUAAUAAACGGUGCAUUCCAUUCAUCUCGUAUCGAAUCUUUGAAAACUACUGUAAAGUAAUGUUUUUAUAUUCAGGACCACACAGGUAGCCGAGGCAUAUUAACUUCUGCAUGCAGAUUCUACCAACAAUCAAUGGUAACGCUAUAUUCAAUUUUUAUACUGAAUAUUAAGCAGCAUCGUAUCAUGUUACCGGUAACUGCUUCAAUCCUUAUCCGAAUUUUAUAUUCUCACGAUCAAAGUUGGCAAAGACAAUUACGAUGUUCUCAAUCAUAUUUAUCAAUUUGAAAUUAUCGACCAUAUUCGAAAUUACAAUGUCGAUUUCUAUGUAUUACUAUAUCGUUUAAACAAAUAGACACAAGGUUCUCGUUUAUACGUAAUAUGUAUAGUCUUUGCUCCACUACUCUGUAUUUUCUUUUUCUUUCUUCUUCUUUUUUUUUCGCUCAGAGAUUCAACGGAGAUCAGGUAUCCGGCGCGUAGAAAAAUUUUAACGCGUUUACGACUGACCGUCACGGCGGAAAAUCCUUUGAAACAUCGACUGUCGUAAUUACGAGCGACUUAUAACAGUAUGGUAACCCCUUCAUUUGUGAACUAUGAUAAACUGUUGCUCAUCUACGGUUCCGAGAUUUGCCUCCAUGAUUUAUGCUAAUACAAUGGACCUACCUCAAAGUAUCUUCUACUAAACGCUCUAUUAGGCUUAAGUUAAUUACGAGACUACCUUCUUGUGGGUUGGCUCGAUGCGAUCGUUACCAUAUUACGAUACAUAUAUUACGCCCUUAACGAUGCCAACCGCUUUUGCAUUAAAUUUGGACAAGCGACGAUCACAAAAAGCAUAGAAGUUUUUUUCUUUGUUACUGUCAACGCGUUUAUAUCUGUUGAGGUUGACUGAUAGAGGAAGUGGAUGAAUUUGUAAUAGACAAAUAUAUUGAAAUAAGUAUAGCUAUAAGUACAGGUAUAGCGUACGCUGAUACUGAUCCUCGCCUUUUCAGCGUUACAAUACAAUAGAACUUGUAAUGGAAAAAUAUAUUGAAAUAAGUAUAGGUAUAAGUACAGGUAUAGAGUACACCGAUCCUGAUCCUCACCUUUUCAGUGUUGCAAUACAAUAGAAUUAUGAUAGGGAGCACGUUGAUAUAUUUAUAGCCUAGGACAUCAGCAAGAAGUUAAUCUUGGUGUGUACCUCUAGCUGAAGGCUACAAGAGACAACAAUAGAAAUCUACUUAUAGCUCCUUUUGUUUCUAGACCUUGUAACCCAAAACAAAAUUUAUAUUCAAGGGCACAAUAAUAUGGACCUCUCCUUACUUUCAAUGUUUUCACUAAAUCCUAUUCUCUUCGUAACAGCGAUCUCCAGAUUACGGGUAUACAAAAGAAAAGGUUUAAGGGUUUUCUUCAAGUAAUUACUACAACAAUAUCAUUCAAGGGAUAACGGCAAAAAGUAUCGCUAUUUUUCUAUCACAAUAUUUAAAAUAUUGCCUUCUAAAAUAUUAUUUACGAGAUGAGUUAUAGAUUACCAUAGAAGUAGCUAAAGUUAAGAUAUGUAAAUUUAAUACGUAGAACAUUUUGACCACCAACGAAUCUAUUGUUGUCUUGCGACCACGAUUAUGGACAAUAACUUCAUUUUCUUCUGGCUCCAGGUUCUGUUACUUGUCGGCGUUUGAACAUACCGACACGCCGCCUAGUUAUUUGAGCACCCUCCGAUAUACCAUUUCCAGAGCGUAAUCGCUAAUCACUCGUCAGAUUUCAAAGAAAGGGACAAAGUCACAAAUAAAGACUAGUUUCGAACGUUACUUCGGUUUUGGGAUGCGCCGCUUCGACCACCGAAGCUCUAUAUAACUACGCUUGUUGGCUGAUUUUACGGUUUCUACGAAACUACGUUCCCUCUCCAAGGAAAUCGCAAUUUUCGUCCUUUAACAAAAUUUAGAACGUUCUUAUGCAAGCGUUACUUAAUACCAUAUGCUCAAUAUACGCGUUUAGAUACACGCGCGCUACCGAUGACAAAUUUUCAAGCGCUAACGUUAUCAAGACAUCCACCAUUUGCCAUUAGCGCCGAUGUUUCUUUCAAGAAUCAAAGUUUCGUCCUUUAACAAUCGUAAUAUUUCUAAAUCUUCCGUCAUGGUGUAAUUUCAAAACGGAGUAUCUGCGAAAAGAACGAGAGGCGAUCGAUAGCAACCUCGAAGAGAGGAAUGUGAAUUUUCGGAUGAAAAGUUUUCCAAAUUAUCGCGUAAAUUAUCGAAUAUUACCCACGGACGCGCGUGAACAUUGUUAAAUAUCUGACAGAAUUUGUAAAAAUUGUAAAAGCCAGAUCUUCGAAGUUUACCGUUUCUUAGAUGAAACAGGAGGAUGCGGUUUUCAUCUCGCCUUUCAAGGAGUAAGCCGGGCGGUUCAUAAUAGUCGAUGAUGCUUAAACACGAAUAGCGGCGGGACGACGUCGGGCCAGCCUGGAAGGACAAAAUGAGGAAUUCGAAAGCGGAACCGGAUAAUGUGGAAACGGUUAUUGCGAUUCAAGGAUAUGAAAAAUAUACCAAUUAUGGAUUCUGUUUUUUUAACAAUUCUAUUUUCAUGCGGUAGCGCCUGUUGACUAUCUUUAAUCGUAGAAAAAUGGAUCGAUCGAUGUUAUCACGACGACUUUGUUUUCUACAUUCCUAACUCUGCUCGUAAUACGAUAGAUAAGAUUUCAACAUAAACUUGAGACCUAUUGGGAAAUUGACAUUGUUACAGCAAGAUAAAAUAAUCGUUACGAUGAUGUAAUAGAAUACAAUAACAGGGCGAUAAGCGAAUGAAAUAAAUGUUAAAAAUUAUAGAUAAGUGUGUCUAUGUAAUGAAUUUAUUAAUAUC
Long non-coding RNA from Bombus huntii, 14538 nucleotides. RefSeq lists it as uncharacterized. The transcript is spliced from 7 exons. The record is from RefSeq and is a predicted model, not a curated record. Lineage: Eukaryota; Metazoa; Arthropoda; Insecta; Hymenoptera; Apidae.